ACAGGGGGCCAUACCAACCUGAACAGGCCCGAUCUCAUCUGAUCUCAGAAGCUAAGUAGGGUCAGGUCUGGUUAGUACUCGAGAGAGGGAAUUAGACAACUGCAGCUU
This 108-nucleotide ribosomal RNA is filed under the name Erinaceus europaeus (western European hedgehog). Lineage: Eukaryota; Metazoa; Chordata; Mammalia; Eulipotyphla; Erinaceidae. The record is from RNAcentral.